GGCUCAGUAACACGUGGCUAAUCUGCCCUUAGGACGAGAACAACCCCGGGAAACUGGGGCUAACUCUUGAUAGGUGAAGAACUCUGGAAUGAGUCUUUGCCUAAAUAGAUUCACGUUAUCCUCGUGAAUUUGCCUAAGGAUGAGGCCGCGACCGAUCAGGUUGUUGGCGAGGUAAUGGCUCACCAAGCCUUUUACCGGUGCGGGCCGUGGGAGCGGGAGCCCGGAGAUGGGUACUGAGACAAGGACCCAGGCCCUACGGGGCGCAGCAGUCGCGAAACCUUUGCAAUAAGCGCAAGCUUGACAGGGCUAUCCCGAGUGCCAUCCGCUGAGGAAGGCUUUUACCCAGUCUAGAACGCUGGGGGAAUAAGGAGAGGGCAAGUCUGGUGUCAGCCGCCGCGGUAAUACCAGCUCUCCGAGUGGUGUGGAUGUUUAUUGGGCCUAAAGCAUCCGUAGCUGGCUAGGUAAGUCCCUUGUUAAAUCCACCGAAUUAAUCGUUGGAUCGCGGGGGAUACUGCUUGGCUAGGGGACGAGAGAGGCAGACGGUAUUUUCGGGGUAGGGGUGAAAUCCUAUAAUCCCGGGAAGACCACCAGUGGCGAAGGCUGUCUGCUAGAACGCGCCCGACGGUGAGGGAUGAAAGCUGGGGGAGCGAACCGGAUUAGAUACCCGGGUAGCCCCAGCUGUAAACGAUGCAGACUACGUGUUUGGACGGCCACGUGCCGUUCUAGUGCCGCACGAAGCUGUUAAGUCUGCCGCCUGGGGAGUACGAUCGCAAGAUUGAAACUUAAAGGAAUUGCGGGGGAG
This 802-nucleotide ribosomal RNA is filed under the name uncultured archaeon. Its description in RNAcentral is "bacterial SSU rRNA". It matches the Rfam family "Archaeal small subunit ribosomal RNA", at positions 87 to 876 of the family's 1478-position model. The record is from RNAcentral.